This 465-nucleotide ribosomal RNA is filed under the name uncultured bacterium. Its description in RNAcentral is "partial 16S ribosomal RNA". It matches the Rfam family "Bacterial small subunit ribosomal RNA", at positions 338 to 795 of the family's 1533-position model. The record is from RNAcentral.
CCUACGGGCGGCUGCAGUAGGGAAUCUUCCACAAUGGGCGAAAGCCUGAUGGAGCAACGCCGCGUGGGUGAAGAAGGUCUUCGGAUCGUAAAACCCUGUUGUUAGAGAAGAAAGUGCGUGAGAGUAACUGUUCACGUUUCGACGGUAUAUAACCAGAAAGCCACGGCUAACUAGGUGCCAGCAGCCGCGGUAAUACGUAGGUGACAAGCGUUAUCCGGAUUUAUUGGGCGUAAGGGGAACGCAGGCGGUCUUUUAAGUCUGAUGGGAAAGCCUUCGGCUUAACCGGAGUAGUGCAUUGGAAACUGGGUGACUUGAGUGCAGAAGAGGAGAGUGGAACUCCAUGUGUAGCGGUGAAAUGCGUAGAUAUAUGGAAGAACACCAGUGGCGAAAGCGGCUCUCUGGUCUGUAACUGACGCUGAGGUUCGAAAGCGUGGGUAGCAAACAGGAUUAGAUACCCCUGUAGUC